GGGGAAUAUUGCACAAUGGGGGAAACCCUGAUGCAGCAACGCCGCGUGAGCGAUGAAGGCCUUCGGGUCGUAAAGCUCUGUCCUAAGGGAAGAAGAAAAUGACGGUACCUUAGGAGGAAGCCCCGGCUAACUACGUGCCAGCAGCCGCGGUAAUACGUAGGGGGCAAGCGUUAUCCGGAAUCACUGGGCGUAAAGGGUGCGUAGGCGGCCAAUAAAGUCAGGGGUGAAAGGCUACGGCUCAACCGUAGUAAGCCUUUGAAACUUAUUGGCUUGAGUGCAGGAGAGGAGAGUGGAAUUCCUAGUGUAGCGGUGAAAUGCGUAGAUAUUAGGAGGAACACCAGUGGCGAAGGCGACUCUCUGGACUGUAACUGACGCUGAGGCACGAAAGCGUGGGGAGCGAAC
RNAcentral lists this ribosomal RNA (402 nucleotides) under uncultured bacterium. RNAcentral's name for it is "bacterial SSU rRNA". It matches the Rfam family "Bacterial small subunit ribosomal RNA", at positions 356 to 773 of the family's 1533-position model. The record is from RNAcentral.